Long non-coding RNA from Callithrix jacchus (white-tufted-ear marmoset), 3982 nucleotides. RefSeq lists it as uncharacterized. Lineage: Eukaryota; Metazoa; Chordata; Mammalia; Primates; Cebidae. The record is from RefSeq and is a predicted model, not a curated record.
UUUCACCAGGAAGUAUAUUUGUUGUACAUUUGGAAAGACACUCUUUAUUCUCAGUUUGCCAAGAAACAGAACCAACAGGGAAGAAAUGUGUGUGUGUGUGUGCGUGCGUGUCUAUUGUUCAUACGAUUAUGGACGCAAACAAGUCCCACCAUCUGCCAUUUGCAAGCUAGAGAACCAGGAAAUCUGGUGGUAUAAUUCAGUUCUAGUCCAAAGGCCCGAGGAAUGAGACACCUAUGUAAGUCCUGCACUCCUAAGGCUGAGGAGUAGGAAACCUCCAAACCAUGGGCGGAGGGCAGAAGCAGACGGACGUCUCGGCUCAAGAGAAAGAAUUGGCCUUUCCUCUUUCUUUUUGUUCUAUUCAUUAUCCUCAACAGAUUGGAUAAUGCCUAUUCACACUGGACAGAAAGGACAUCGAGCACUUUCUGGAGUCCCCAGCAAUGCACCGUCUGUCGUCCGGGCCAACUGGCCAGCUGGUUCGAUCCUGGCCUUGUUGACUUCUGUUGAAUCUCACACCACCCAGGCACCUGACCAGGUGCGUCCUCGGCUCUCUUAAGUUCAAGAACUCACCUGCACUGGCGGCGCAGGCGGCCCUCGUCCCGCAGGAAGGACUUUCCCUGCGGUCACCCAACUCUAGGCGCGCACCACCGCUCAGCUUGAAAACCCCGCCUCCUACAGAAAGCGAGCAUGGGAGGGUUACUUGGCUUUGGGGACGGGGUGGGCGGAUAGCGCGGUGCUGAGCUCAGCGCUAAAGCGGCUGUUGUCCAAGAAACGAAGCGAGGGUACAGAGUUGGCUCCUGGCGCGAGCGAAAUGUCCCUGCAGCAGCACCGCUUUACCUUCCCCAGAGGAAGGAGGGACGGCCAGCGCGCAGCACCAACUCGGCCGGCUGGAGUCUGCCCGGCUGCCACCAGGGGGUGAUGCGCCCUCACCUUUCCUCGAGGAUGCCGUGGAUGCCAAGGAGGGCAGUGGGUCUAACGCGUCCCAGCCCGGAGCCUCCGCGGGGGAAGAUACCCUUGACCACCGGCACCAGGUCUCUGGUGGCCACCUGACGCUCGCGCAUUCCUUCUACGGACCCUGGGAAGUCCUGGCCCUUGGACUCAUAAUACAUCUUGGCCGUCCGAAGAUUCCAUCUGAAACAAGCUGGAAUGGUCUGAAAACUCCUCGAUGUCCUCCAGCCAGUGUAGCUGAUGCCAUCCUUUCAACCAUCCACAUUCUACUACACCUCCCUGCAGCUCCAUGAUUUCUGACACUGUGGGGAUGGAGCUCAUGCAUGCCCUGCACCCGCAUUUUGAGAGAGCCCCUCUACAGGCUGCACUGUCCUUAUUAGAUGCACAUCAGAUGGGUCUUGCUCUGUUGCCUGCGCUGGAGUACAAUAGCACAACCAUGGCUAACUGCAGCCCUCAACCUCCCAGGCUCAAGUGAUCUUCUCACCUCAGCCUCCUAAGAAGCUGGCACCACAGGGGAUGCCGUGGAACCAGCCAGGCCAGGACAAUGGAAUCCAUUCCAUCUUGUUGCUAUGGAGAGCCCACGGGCAACUACAGAAAACAUGGAGUGUCUGCCCAUCAUUUCUGGAACAUGAAUAGCCAAAGGAGAUUACUGGACUUUGCUUGCUUGAACAGAUUAUUUCUAUUGAAUUCACCAUACUGUAGCUUUGAUAAGAGCAGUGGUUCUCAAUUUUGGUGUUAGAAUCACUUGGGAGAAUUUUUAGAACCUCCAUGCCCUGACCAUUCCUUAGAACAAUUAAAUUAGAAUGUUGGGGGAAUGGAACCCAGGUUAUCAGUAAUUUUCAAAGCCCUCCGGAGAUUCCAUGUGCAACCAUUCCUCAUAGUUUUUCCCCUAAACCCUAAUAAGCGAUAUGGCACCUAUAUGACAGGCUAAUGGGCACAGGGUCCCUACCACAUCAGCCGGGGCAGAGGAAUCAUGUGGGCUGGGAACCCCAAACAUUCCCGGAGAGCCUAAACAUUAAGUAGAAUUAAAGGAGGCAGAUUCCAAGAUGUUUGCUAUGGCUCAAAUCAGAAACCAAUUUUACACAAUCAUGUAAUAAAAACUUAUAGAUUCUUGUUGAGGGCAUUCUAGGAGGGAGGUAAACUGGCCUCGGUCACAUGGAGGAGGUUGAGCCUGGGCCUUGUUCCCCAAAGCAGUUUCAUCUGGUAACCAGCUAUAAGUUUCCCUUUGGUUAUCCCCAAGCUUUCAGAAAAUUCACACCUAAUGUGUCAAUAUGCUUUGAGCUGUGCAUGGGGAAUUAGGUAAGAGUCUAAAGGUGAAUAGAUAAAAGAGAAGCAGUCACCUUGUUUAGGCCAGCACGGUGGCUAGACACUGCAGGAGGGGGUUGGCAGUGGCAUGAGCAGUGACCAGAGCCAGGCAGUGGCAGAAACACGGUGCUGUUACAGACCGACUUCAAGCCUGUGUGAACCCCUUCUGCUGCUACGACUGCCAAAGUUCCCAGUGCCUCUGAAAGUGAGGCUAGAGGUUCUGAGUGCAGAGGGAGGGGCGAAGGACAUUAUUAUUUGGACAUAAUCAUAAAAGCGACCUCAGCUAUACUCAUAAGCAAAUCAUGUUUGCCAUAUAUUGGCAAUAAUCAAAUAGUUCAAUCCCUAAUCAAAUUCCCCAUUAAAACCCCAAGUCCCACUCCCAAAUAUAAGUGUUUCUUUUGGGCUGUAAGUGUUGGAUAGAAGUCUUUAUGGUUGCUGCCGGGAAGAAAUGUUAUGAGUAGUCUCUCCAAACAACCAAACAGUCUGGGGCUCCGAGGUCCAGGACACUGGGCCAUAUAUGUAAUGUGUAUUAUAUUGGAUGGAAACCUCUUUGAAUGAAAGGCUGUUCCCUAGCUGGUGCAGUCAGGAGCAGAAAUGACCAGAUAAAGCUUGUGCUUGUCUUAAUCUAUGUUAUUUAUGAAUGAUUUUGUCUCUAGUCUCCCCAAAGAGAACAGUGGGAAAAAGCAAGGCACUAACCUCAAUUUGGCAAGUAAUAGUGUCAUUUUGAAACAUCUGUAACAUACCUGUUUACCUUUUUCAAAAUUCUCACUGACAGAAUCACACUACCCCUCUAGUCAUAAUUUGAAGCACUGUGUCUCCAUAGUGAUGAUUCAGGCUCCCGUUGCCAUGGUGAUCAUUCUAUGGGCUAAAACACUUCCAUCAAUCCUUCCCCUCAUUCUCAUUACCAUUGUCGGUUUCUCAAUCCAGGCCUUUAUUAUGUCUUUGGGAUCUAGCACUGGACCUGACAAAUAAUAGGUGGUCAGUGUAUUGAAUGAAUAGCCCGACCUAGAUUAUUAAAAUACCUCUUACCUCGUCUUUCUUGCUCCAGGCUUUGUCCCUGUGAGUUAUUAUGCCUUAUCGUUUCAUCUCAUUCAUCUGUUUUCAUUUACUGGCGCUUUUAAAUUACAGAAGGAACACUUGCUCAUUUUAGAAAACUCAAACCAUUUUAGAUACCUACGAAGCUAAAAGUAAACAUUCCUCUUCACCAAAAUAAAUUCCAGCUGGAUCAAUGAUUUAAACAUAAAAAUGAUAAAAGUUCCAAAAGAAUUUAUAAUUUGUGGUAAGAAAGGCUCCUUUAAAUAGGAACAAAAUCCGGAAGCCGUAAAGAAACAAAAUUAACAUGUUUGACCAUAUAAACAUUCCAAAACAGUGUGUGUGGGGAAAAUGCCAUAAAGAUUAAUAGCAAAAAAGGUCAAAAGAUUAAUAGCAAACUGGAAAAAAUAUAUUUGCAAAACAAAUGGUAAAAAGUUAAACUUCCUCAACUAUCAAGGAGCUUCUACAAGUCAGUAUGAAACAGAUGACCCACCAGGAGGAAAAUGGUCAAAGGCUACUAAUGUCUGCAGAAAAAGGAGCACAACUGGUCAGAAAACAAAUGACAAGAUCAAUUCAGAAUUAAAAUGAAUACAAAUAAUCAAAACGAUAAUGAAUAAAUAAGAUUUUUUCCACUUCUCUGAUGGGCAAAUGUAGAUGUUUAAUGACACCUAGUGCUGCAAGUCUAAAGGGAAAAUAAACA